UCCCUGAUGGUUCAGUGGUUAAGACUCUGCAUUUCCAGUGCAGGGGGUGUGGGUUUGAUCCCUGGUCAGGGAA
This 73-nucleotide transfer RNA is filed under the name Bos taurus (domestic cattle). It matches the Rfam family "tRNA". From Rfam's summary of the family: Transfer RNA (tRNA) molecules are approximately 80 nucleotides in length. RNAcentral also lists the same sequence under 2 other names. The record is from Rfam by way of RNAcentral. Lineage: Eukaryota; Metazoa; Chordata; Mammalia; Artiodactyla; Bovidae.